RNAcentral lists this ribosomal RNA (469 nucleotides) under uncultured bacterium. RNAcentral describes it as "bacterial SSU rRNA". It matches the Rfam family "Bacterial small subunit ribosomal RNA", at positions 28 to 508 of the family's 1533-position model. The record is from RNAcentral.
GACGAACGCUGGCGGCGUGCCUAACACAUGCAAGUCGAACGAGGUCCAUCCAGUGGCAACACUGGUGAAGACCUAGUGGCGAACGGGUGAGUAACACGUGAGAAACCCACCCCGAUCUCUGGGAUAACAGGUGGAAACACCUGCUAACACCGGAUGCCUUCACCGCAUCGCAUGGCGUGGUGAAGAAAGGUUACGGAUCGGGACGGUCUCGCGGCCUAUCAGCUUGUUGGCGGGGUAAUGGCCCACCAAGGCUUCGACGGGUAGCUGGUCUGAGAGGACGAUCAGCCACACUGGGACUGAGACACGGCCCAGACUCCUACGGGAGGCAGCAGUGGGGAAUCUUGCUCAAUGGGCGAAAGCCUGAAGCAGCAACGCCGCGUGCGGGAUGAAGGCCCUCGGGUUGUAAACCGCUUUCAGCAGGGAAGAAAACAGACGGUACCUGCAGAAGAAGGUCCGGCUAACUACGUGC